Non-coding RNA from Biomphalaria pfeifferi, 406 nucleotides. The record is from the annotation of a GenBank genome assembly. NCBI's taxonomy places the organism in Eukaryota, Metazoa, Mollusca, Gastropoda, Planorbidae.
AGAGAGAGAGAGAGAGAGAGAAAGAGAAAGGGAGAGUGAUAGAGAAGGGGCUAGAGUAAAAAAAAUUCGCAUUCAUCAACAGAAUGUUUUCAUUUGUAACCCAUCAUCUAAACCUUUAUCUUCAUUACACCUACAUAAGGUGCCUUACAAAAAUGAACCAAUACAAUAAUGGAGUGCGUACAAUAUUCCGAUCAUAUAAAAUCAUUGAUAGAGUACCUAAUAUUUUUAUUGCAUGAAGGUUUGUUGACUAAGAGAUUUAAAUUAAACUGGUUAAAUUCAAAUUUCACACAUGCAACCCAAAAACUCUAAAUAUUUUUUUUUAUCUUCUCUUGAAAGAGAGUAUAUAAUUCCCUGGAAUAUUCUGAAGUGAACACAAAAAGGUACUAAUAAGUAAAGUUUCCCUUUC